GACGAACGCUGGCGGCGUGCUUAACACAUGCAAGUCGAACGGUGAAGCGCCUUCCUUUUUGGUGGGUGUGGAUGAGUGGCGAACGGGUGAGUAACACGUGAGUAACCUGCCCCCUUCUUCUGGAUAACCGCAUGAAAGUGUGGCUAAUACGGGAUAUUCUGGGUCUGUCGCAUGAUGGGUCUGGGAAAGAUAUUGUUUCGGUGGGGGAUGGGCUCGCGGCCUAUCAGCUUGUUGGUGGGGUGAUGGCCUACCAAGGCGGUGACGGGUAGCCGGCCUGAGAGGGUGGACGGUCACACUGGGACGGAGGCACGGCCCAGACUCCUACGGGAGGCAGCAGUGGGGAAUAGUGCACGAUGGGCGCAAGCCUGAUGCAGCGACGCCGCGUGAGGGAUGGAGGCCUUCGGGUUGUGAACCUCUUUCGCCAGUGAAGCAGGCCUGCCUCGUUUGUGGGUGGGUUGACGGUAGCUGGAUAAGAAGCGCCGGCUAACUACGUG
RNAcentral lists this ribosomal RNA (494 nucleotides) under uncultured bacterium. RNAcentral's name for it is "partial 16S ribosomal RNA". It matches the Rfam family "Bacterial small subunit ribosomal RNA", at positions 28 to 507 of the family's 1533-position model. The record is from RNAcentral.